GACGAACGCUGGCGGCGUGCCUAAUACAUGCAAGUUGAGCGCUGAAGGUUGGUACUUGUACCGACUGGAUGAGCAGCGAACGGGUGAGUAACGCGUGGGGAAUCUGCCUUUGAGCGGGGGACAACAUUUGGAAACGAAUGCUAAUACAGCAUAAAAACUUUAAACACAAGUUUUAAGUUUGAAAGAUGCAAUUGCAUCACUCAAAGAUGAUCCCGCGUUGUAUUAGCUAGUUGGUGAGGUAAAGGCUCACCAAGGCGAUGAUACAUAGCCGACCUGAGAGGGUGAUCGGCCACAUUGGGACUGGGACACGGCCCAAACCCCUUCGGGAGGCCACAGUAGGGAAUUUUCGGCAAUGGGCGAAAGUCUGACCGAACAACGCCGGGGGAGGGAAGAAGGUUUUCGGAUCGUAAAACUCUGUUGGUAGAGAAGAACGUUGGUGAGAGUGGAAAGCUCAUCUAGUGACGGUAACUACCCAGAAAGGGACGGCUAACUACGUG
This 497-nucleotide ribosomal RNA is filed under the name uncultured bacterium. RNAcentral describes it as "partial 16S ribosomal RNA". It matches the Rfam family "Bacterial small subunit ribosomal RNA", at positions 28 to 507 of the family's 1533-position model. The record is from RNAcentral.